GUAAGCCGUGUGCGGGAGAACCGCACGCACGGUUUGACGGGCGGGAGCUGGAAACGGGCUCGAA
This 64-nucleotide non-coding RNA is filed under the name Actinophytocola oryzae. Lineage: Bacteria; Bacillati; Actinomycetota; Actinomycetes; Pseudonocardiales; Pseudonocardiaceae. The record is from RNAcentral.